Molecule: long non-coding RNA, 10182 nt
Organism: Varanus komodoensis (Komodo dragon)
Lineage: Eukaryota; Metazoa; Chordata; Lepidosauria; Squamata; Varanidae
Exons: 4
Source: RefSeq, a predicted model, not a curated record
UCCUAGCAUAACUGUCUUCUCCAGUGAGUGUUGCCUUCUCAUGACGUACCUAAAAUACAACAGUUUCAGUUUUGUCAUUUUUGCUUCCAGGGCAAGUUAUGCUUGGUUUGAUCUAGGACCUACAACUUCCUCUUUCUGUCAUUCCAUGGUGCUUCCAACACUCUCCUUCAGCACCAUAUUUUGAACACAUCAGUUUCUUUCAGCUUUAUUCACUCUUCAGCUUUCACAUGGUGAUUAAAAAUACAAUAGUGUGGAUGAACUUGCUUAGUAUUAAUGACAUUCCUCUUUUGCUCAUGACUACCUGAACAUUACUCCAUUAAUGUUCACUUUAUCUUAGAGGAAAGGUUGAUGGAUUGCAGAGUGAUCCUUUACAUUAUUACAUGGAAACAAGCUUUACUGUCUUCACUGUGCUUACUCUAUAAAGAUGUGCAUAGGAUUGCAACCAAUAUUUCACCAUUACAGAGAAAUGUGCACUUUCCAAGGGCAGUUACGUGUUGAGGGAAGUGUGACAUUAUGUGAUCUGAUAAUCAGAUCAGAGCUGAAAGGAUCCAUAACUUGGCCAUCUUAUCCAAACAAUCUCAAUCUCAAUUUACUUGUAGAUCCUACCAACUAAGUCGUCUGUUGUCUUGGUUAUUGGACAGGUGCUGCAUCGAAGAAGCUUUGGCUGGCAGAACUAGCACAGAUGCUAUGAGAAAAGCAAUGCAUACCUAGGAUAAAGGGCAGCAUCUCCCAUAUCUGGGGUUUUUGGUACAGCACCAGGCCUGACUUAUUCAGUGGAGAUGUGGGGAGUCUUGGUCUAUAGAGAAUUUGUUUUCCUGAUUAGGUACCCAGGCCAGGGGUCAGUCUACUUUGAAUGUCCUCACCUGGUAUUGAAAUUUUAAGAUAAGUCUUUUUUUUGGUGGGUGGGUAUACCAACUAUGCUGCCUAUCAGUCUCCCGGCAUUUGCUGGAAGAGGAGGCCUUGAGUGUGCUACCAAGAAGUCCAAGGCUAGCAAGGCUUUCUUGAAGGAAGCAGGCUAGGUAUUAUGGCUUUCAGGUCAAUGAUAGGCCUGUUUCAGUUAAUAUGUGAUCCAACACUUGUGGCAGGACAUUUGGUUUUCUGUACUGGACUAGGGGAUGCAGGUCUGUGCACUGGGGAAUAAGUAAGGUCCCCACUGGAUUGGACAAAUGAUAACUGAAUAGAUGGUGUGCCCCAGGGAGCUUUGAAUUCAGAUGGCUUUCUGAGUUCUCUUGGCAAUUUUCCUACAGAUUUGGUGAGAGGUUCUGCUGAUAUUUGAAAUGAGGGGAUGACCUGGGCUAUCCAAAUGAUGCUUUGAAAUAUCCCUAACCCAGUUACAGAGCACUCUGGGCUCCCUGGUGGGUUAGGGAACUGAGGGUAAAGGAAUGACUAGAGUGGAAAUGAUGAAAGACUUAUAACGAGUACAGUUAAGAAUUCAUCUUCAAACUUAUUCCAGGGUAAUGAUGCGAUCUUCUCUGCCACCAUUGCUUCUGCUCAAUGUUUUCCAGUAGGGCUCUUUUGGGUGGUGAAAUGUGCAGGUUCUGAGGAGCAAUAGCUUGAGCCCUCCAAAGUCCUCUGUGGUUAAGUUGCUAGCCAUUUUGCAAAUGGAGUAACUUAUAUCUGUGUCGACUUAGAUAUCAUUGUUUUAAUAGAAGCAGAGAUGGAUGUGUCCUGGCAUAUUAUUUUUGAUAUAUUUCAGAAUGCAGUCUAAGGAUGUGGACAAACUUCUUGGAAAAACGAGCACCACACAUUUCUCUUAGAUGCUUCUACAUCCUGACUUGUGAAAACAGUUAGGGCUUGAUGGGUAAGUAAUUAAUUUGUGCUCCAUGAGAGGAGUGGACCCUGCUUGCCAAAUGAAAGCCAGUGUGGAGAAGUGGUUAAGAGUGUGGGACUGAGAUUCAGGUGAUCUGGGUUCUAGUCCCCAUUAAGCCAUGAAGCCAACUGGGUGACUUUGGGCCAGUCACAGACUCUCAGCCCAACCUACUUCACAGGGUUGUUUUGGGGAUAAUAGUGAGAGCAGGAGGAGGAGAAUGGUGUAAGCUGCUUUGAGAUCUUAAAAAAGGAAAGGAAAGGAAAGGAUGGGGUAUGAAUCAAUCACUCAGUCAAAUAGACAAACCAAGAAAAGAAGUGUUGAGGCCACUACAAAGAAAAUAAGGUCUGAUGGUUUCUAAAAAUUACUCCCCAGAGUUAAAUUUGUCAUUUUUGUGCAAGAAGUUGCGGCAUGUAGUGGUUUCUCAACUUCAGGUAGAGUUGGAUGAUGCUGAUCAUUUGGCUCUAUUCCAAUCUGGGUUCAGGCUUUGUUUAGGGAUAGAAACAGCCUUGGUCACUGUAGAAAUUUAGUUAUGCUAAUUAAUGCAUUGGGUGUGCAGCUCUGUUAGUUCUCCUGGACCUCUUAAUUGCUUUAGAUCCCAUCAAUUGUAGUAUUCUUCACAAUUGUUUAUCUGGAUUGGAUGCGGGGGCAUGGUGUUAUGGUGCCUCUGAUCAUUCCUGGAUAAUUAGUCACAGAAAGUGGUGCUUGGGGACUUCCGCUUCACACCCUAUCUUAUCUCCUUUUUUUCAUCUACAUGAAAUUGCUGUGGGAAAUCAUUCAGAUGUUUGGGCUGUGCCAUUGGUAUGCCAGUGAGCCUUAGCUCUUGCUUCCAUCUCAUGGUCCUACAGAGGCUGCACAACUGCAGAGUCCAAACGCAGUGGAUACUGUGGUGUCAGCAGGGCUGUGAUUCUGUGAAAUCUGUGAAAAUUCCAGAUUUCAUGCCAGCCUUUUAGGGAGUUAUCCAUGGUGUCCCUGCACCCAAAAUAGGUCUGCUAACUUAGAUAACUCUGUAACAGUAAAAUUUGGAGUGAAUACACAGCCCCACUGAAAUUGAGGCCACCAGCCUCUGCUUCCAGUAUCUGGAGACAGUUGUGAGAUGGAAAAUAAGGAAAAUAAGAUGAGACUUAAUCCAAACAAAAAAGUACUGUGGGUAGAGAAUCUGACGAAGCUGGACAGAGGAGAACAUCUGGUGUUAGAUGUGGUUGUACUCUCCCUAGGGAACCACAUGUGGAGUUUGGGAGUGCUCCAGAAGCAACAGUGGCCAGGAUACUGGUAUGCCAGCUGCAACCAUAUCUGGAGAGGUUUGAUCUUGCCUGAAGUUAGUCAUGUUCUGGUGAUGUCCAGGCUGGACUACUGUUAUGUAUAUCUGCCUUUAAAGAUAGUUCAGAGACUUCAGCUGGUUUUUAAACUGCUGAUUUUAACCUUUCAAGCUGUUUGAGCCCAAGUUAAUUGAAGGACUGCCAUCAACUGUACCAGCCUGUCCACAUUGUGAGGUCCUCAGCUGAAGCACUAUUCAUUAGCCUGUCAUCAAGGGUGGUCAAGUUAAUGUGUACAAGAAGGAGGGGCCUUUGGGGAGUGGUCUCAAUCUUAUCAAGGGUUUUCCAAGCUCUUUCUGUAUAGCAGUGCUGAAAACCCUCUUGCUCUCACUAGUCUUUUCUUAAUUUUGGGGGCCAUUGGAAUUAUUUGCAAUACCCAUUUUAAUAGAUUAUACUGUUUGUAUUUUAUACUAAUUGUUAUAUCUUUAAUGAUAUAGGCAUCUUACAAAGGUUCCACCAUUAAAAUAAUUUUAAGAGGGCCAAAGGCUCAAGAAAUAUUUUUAAACACACUCAUGGAAGAGAAUACCUUUUUGAAACAUGCUCUUCUUACUUUUUACUUCAGUGCAUGGUGCUUGUUAAAAUAUGGAAGGACUAUGUAGCUGUUGCAUCAGCAAGUGGAGCCCUUCAUGUUAUGGGAAGUCCUUUUCCUCUUGUGCAAGGCAGUUUCUGUAUCCUGUCCCUUGAAGUGCAACUAGAGUGUGAGAAAGCUGGUAUAACAUGCACUGGACUCUUGGAUUAUACAGUAGUUUUCAUAUAAUUAUUUCCAAGAUUCAUAUCACUCAUUGUAAUGUAGUAAAACUUUCCAAGCACAGACUGAAGAUUUCAGUUGUACACAAAACAUAUAUUUUAAGAAGGUUACAAAUCAGCACAUUGUAUUUUGUGGCAAAAUCAUAAAAUAUGCUAACAUGAUAGAAUCUAAUGAGGGAAAUGUUCCAUGCAGAUGUCUGCUUGCUUAUUAUCCUAUAAAAUGAUUGUAUAUUUUUGUUUUUAUGAGCAAUUCCAGGCAUGAAGAUUUAACCAAAAACAUUCAUUUUGUCAAAAGUAUAAACACAAUAUGAGUGCACUAUACAAGGCACUCUUUAAAAAUCUGAUUUUUAAUGCUUGAAUAGUAGUUUUAACGUAAAUGGUGAUGAGUACUUCUUUUUAGUUGCUCUUGCAUCUGACAAGGCAAGUGAUAGUCUGUGAUCAGUACUGCAUCUCCUUACAUGAUGCAAAAGAACAAGAUUUUACUUGCCUUUGAUUUGUAUGUUUUUUCUGGCCACGUUGGCCAACCAUUUUAUUUUAUUGUGAUAUGCUGAGAGCCAACUCACAUAUUCUUAAGUAAAUACAAAGGGCAUAGGAAAUGAGGGAGGUAUAAUUUUUGUUGUUGCUCUUGUCAUUGAGAUUUUCAUGGUGUCUGUGCACAUUGGGCACCAUUUCAUUUUUAUUGCGCUGCACUGAUAGGAGUGUCACAUACCAUUAAGUUAAUACCAAGUAAGUGAAAAAGAAGUAAAAAAGCAAAAUCGAUUUUUCUCCCUUCUACUAGUUUGGUUGUUGGACAUUUGUGGGCUUUAUAUAUGCAACUGUUAUGGGGAGGAAAACUCAGCACUGCAAUAUAUGACAUAAAUAGUUUGUGUUGGUUUAUUUUGGUCCAUAAGGAAGCUCUCUUGCAAUACUUAAACAAGUACUUGGUAUCUUUGGGGUGGAAUAAUGGCAGAGCUUAUGAAGGAUUGGUAUAUUUGAGAUAUAUUAUUUAGGUCAAGCAAAAUUUUCCAAUCAGUUUGAAAUAGCUCAAUGGUUAUGUACGUCUGUCACAGAACCUAUUCUCAUUAUAUCUGCUGUGAAAUGUGGGGACAGUGAUAGGUUCCCUUUUUGCAGAGAAUGGUUAAUUCUCCUAAGGAUGCAUAGAUUCCCUAGGAACAUUUCCCCACCCAAGUGCAAUCUGGAUGCUAUUAAGGAUGUGUGCUGUGGUAGCUGAUGCUCAUUAAGGCUGGUAGGGUGGAGGGAAGGGAAGAUAAUGGUAGGAAGAGGCAAGGGGUCAGUGUAACCAGAUACAAGUAGAUCCAGUUUUCUCCACAUUCUCCUCCUUUGCAAAGGAGGACUCUUAAGCAAUGCUUUAUAAUCGUAUAGAUCUAACAAAACUGAACCAUAGUGUCUUACCUUUGUUCAGGAGGAUUGGGUGCUAUCACAUGUUGAGAGAAAAGGCCUGAGGCUUCCAUCACCCUUUAUCAUCACCUCAGUCAGGAAUACGAUCCCUUCAACAAAAGGUGUUCAGCAAGCUGCACCCUAGAAAAAGGAAAAGAUGUGUCCGGAUGUGCAACACCACAGAUGGAUGAACAUUUUGAUGAGCCUUUCUCCUCAUGGGGAGUCGUUCCGAUGCCGAGAAACACACUCAUGUGAUUUGCCUACCAUGCUUUAGUAUUUGAAAAGCAUUAAACAAAUGUUUUUAAUAUCUUAAAGAGUGUGCACAUAUACAUGUCAUUUCUAGAGCAGGGCUGGAAGACCUUUUUCCUAUCAAGGCCCAUAUUAACUUGGUUGAAACCUGUUCAGCUUCUGGCAGUGAACAGAGUCCAGAGUCAAAAGUGGAUAUAGAUACAGAUUUGACCUUUUAUCAUUAUUCAGUACAAGACCCAUACACUUUUUGUCUUCCCGGAAAUCUUUGUAAUUGUAUGAGCAAGAUGGAAAAAACCAAGAUAGAAUAAAUCAAAUCAAUAUUGAGGCCAGAGAGGGGGUGUGACCUGAGAAAAUGGUCACAGCCUGGAGAGGGAUUCUUGUUUUGAGGAGAGUCUAGAAGUCCAGACUGAAAUAGAUGAAGAUCCACAUUUGGCCAUUCUAGAGUGAUAAAUGGCCAUGGAAAGAAAUCAUAAGGCUGAUGUUGUGCGGCCUGUUAUUUGCUUCUUAAGUAUAUCUUUUUCUGUCCUACCAAAGAGUCCUUGAGAUAUAUUUACUAUGGUACUCAAUGACCUAGUGAAUUGGCUUCAUUACUGAAAAUAGGUAAUGCAAUGCAUACACAUGAAUCUCUAUACAUGUAUUUGAAUAUUUGGCUCUGGUCCAGGGGCCUGGGUUUAUUUGGUGUCUGGGUGUAAAUUUGGGGUAUAAGUCCAAGUAUUUUUGGUUAAUGCAAUUAUGAAUUGGAGUGAGGAAACCAAGGGAAGUAACCAGUUGUGUCGUUAGCAUACUUGGCACUGCAAGUGGAAACCAGUUUCCAAACUAUAUGCAGGAGGAAAAUCCAACAAAAGUUGCAUUUGUGCAACUGGUUGUGCGUGCUUAUGUACAAGCAUGUUACACAAGUACAGAAAAAAGUGGCUCUCUGCUAGUGCUAUAUGAGAAAUGACACCAUUGGAUACAGCCUGAAAUAUUAUAGAAAAGCAUACAUUUAAAGAGUGGAGAAACUGACACCAGUCUGGCAUGUGUAUGAGUCAAUGGUCAUCUGCAAACUGAUUUUUGUACUCUUCCAGAUAAAUGCUUAUAAAUGAGUAAUAUUUCAUUAUUGCAUUUUUAUUUCAAAUUCAAUUUGUAUUAUAUAUAUUCAUGUAUGAUAAAUCAAUGAGAAGAUCAAAACAGUAAUAUAUACAUUUUAGUUUCAACACAUUUGCCAUUUUAAAAGAAGAGAUUUAAAGCCACCCAACAUGCUUUGGGAGAUUAGACCCAACAGCAGGAGAUGAAGGCAAUGUGCCAUCCUGGCUUUUUGACCUUCCUUUGGGUUUCCUCUUCUAUGUCUUUAAGUCAGACUGAUAUUACUUGUCCAGAGAGUUAUCGUGUUUCAUACAGCUUUCAUUAAUAAUUUCAUUAAUUCCUUGUGAAAUGCAGAGAAAAAUCAGGCAAUUGAAUAUGAUGAACUAAAGAAAUUAUUUUUUGCUUGCUUUCUUCAGAACAGAAAAGGCAAUUCAUAUUGGAUUCCUUUUAUCUUAGGUCGAUAGCUUUUAAUCAUAAAUUAAUUAAUAUAGUUAUAUAAAUUAAUUCAUGUAGUUGUACCACCUUCCCCCUCCUCUGAAUUUGCUAAUAAGAAAUAAGGCUUUGAAUACUACUUACUCUUUUGGUGUUUAAAAAGUUAUUUUAAUAAAAAAAGAUAGCACCUAUGACUUCCAUCAUUCUGUCACCCUGCUGCUAAAACUGAUGCUGCUGAACUUUUCGUUGACGCAAACUCUUUGGGGUUAACCAGAGCACUACUUUGGAGGAAAAUAACCAUGCCUCAUCACCAAGAUCAGCCAGACCAACUUGCGGUCCUCCAGAUAUUUUGAUCUAUAACUCCUAUUGCCUUAGCUAGCAUAGCUGCUGCUGAGGGAUCAUGUAACCGAAGGUCAAAACAUUUGAUGGGUCACACAUACUCUGCCCACCCCUGACCUAGAAGAAAUUUGCAAGCUGAUCUUUUUUUUUUUGGAUAAAUGUUCAUCUGACCAGUGGCACAGACAUAAGGGGGAAAAACUAUUCAUAGUAACUAAGUGGGUGGUAUUUGGAUGCAUCAGCAGUAUAGGGAGUGGAAUCUUUAGUGAUCCUUUCCUUCUAGCAGGCCCAUAGAGCCACUAAAUCUGUAAUAAGCUUCAGGAAGGCAGGGGAACUAGUGAAAUUGUGUCUCCUCAUUCUGCUGAUGGAUGCAUUCAAUUAGUGGCAGGACACCACUGAAUACCGCUUUCUAUUUUGCAAGAAGAGCAAGGGUACAUGUACUGUGGAAGAGAGAUUCAAGAGCUCUGAACAUAUUUUUUUAAAGGUGGGUUAGGGAGAUGUAGAGAUCUUCAAGGCCAGUGGUGGGUGAGCCUUUUUUUAGGUCUCAGAUAUCCCUGGAUGUUAACCCCUGUGUUUAUGCUCCUCCUGCGGCAGGAAAAUGGCAGUGGGUGAUAUUAAAGAAGAUACCACAAAUGAGUUAUUGUGGGAAGAGCGACUGCUUUUCAUUGGGAAGCUGUCAUGGUGCUGGCAGUUACGAAGAGUAUUUACUUUAGUCUCAUUGCAUAUUAUUGGAACGUCCUCAUGAAGCUGCAUUCUAAAGAGCUGUGUUUUUCUUUUCAAAGAAAUACCUUAUAGAAGUGACGAGACUUGACUUUAUGUAGAAUGUCCUUGCAAACCAGUUUAUAAUUGUAUUUAUUCUAAAUGUGCAUAUUUUGUUCUUUGCUGAUUUAAGGAUGCCCGAAAUGGCUUCUGCAGAGAGAUGUUUAUUACGAAACUGUUUGCAAAAGUCCUGAGCAGCAUUCAUUGAGCCUAGACAAACAGCAGAAAAUAUGGCCUGCCUUUGCAACUUCAGUGUAUGACAUGGAGAGCUGGCAGACUGCCUGGUUUCUACUUAAAGGAUUGUCAUUCAGGGGAAAAUAAAUUUCUCUAACUAGACAAAAGUCAAUGUUUUCAUGUUUUACUGCAAUCAGACUGAUAUGGCUGAUAAUUUAAAGUCUCAGCACUUAUAAUAUCUGAAGAUAAUCAGUUCCUUCAAUCAAUCAUAACUACAAGAUCCUUCUUUUUUGAGGCUGUAUAAAUAUGACUAAGAUGUUUAACAGUUCAGAUAUUUGUCCCCCACUAAUAUUUUAUGACAUUUUAUUGAGCAAUGGAAUGCUUUGGCAUAUAUUAAUGGAUCCAUUUGGAAAUGCCUUUUUACAAAAUUACAACAAGUCUGCAUGUAAUCAGAGCUGCAAACCUUUCUUUUAACAUUCCAUUCUAUUUUAAUUUUAUGUAUAUCUUCUAGUCUGUUCGCCUGUCAAGAAGAUGAGGAAAUGUGCUGGCAUUCCAGCUGAAGACAUCAUUAUGAGUGAGAAAAUGCUCAAGGCCUUUUUUCAAAGUGGGUGCUGAAAGAGACACUUUCCUUCUUUGACUUCAGGGAUGCUGAUAGCUACCCCAACAGACAGGCAUGUUGAAUGCUGACUUGACUUCCAUUUUUCUUAGAAGAAAGGCAAGAGCGCAGGAGACCUAAUCCAGACUGGGACAGAAAAUAAUCUCUCUCCAUAAGUCAUUAACCUAACUUUGGAAAGGCAGAAGAACCCAGAACAGGAACUCUGAAGAAGUUCUUAAUUCAUAGUGUGGUUUAUGCAGGGUAUGCUACUUCAACUUCUCUGACCCCCAGCUAUUCAGCUGAGCUGGGCAAACACCCUCUAGGUGUUUUGGUUUACAACUCUCAUCAGCAUAGCCAAUGGUGAUGAAUGAUGGGAGUUGUAGGUCAAAACAUUUGGAGAGCUACAAGUUGCUGAACAUUGAUUUAGGACUUUAAAGACCCAAUCCAUGAAUAAACCUUGGAAAUGAGUUGACAGCCAAUAUGGAUUCCCCCCCUCAACCCUUGUAUGAUGCAUAGCAGGCAGCCCCAGUUAAAAAUCUGUCCACCUGUUUUUUUCGCAGGAUGCUGUUUAAGCUCCUCAUUGUAUGCCUUGAAGUAUCUUCUUUAUUUUCUUUAAGAGAUGAGCAUUAGUUUCCUUCUUUGAGAGCACUUCUCUUUGAGCUGGAGGCAUUAGAAGUGAAUGUGGUAUAGGAAUGGAUGAUCCAACCAUUCUGCUUUCUUAUAACAUCUGCAUUGUUUUCCUAUUUCCAUAACAGUUUAUGAGUUCUUUUUUUAAAAUGAAGAUUUCUAUGCACUUCCCGGUAUUACUCACAUAGUUUUCAAGUAAUCUCUCACUUAAUAUAUGCCUUUUUGUGCAUUAUUUCCCCCGAGGUAUAUGUUUGUGUAUGCAGUUUCCCCUAAUAUUUGCAUGUUUGUAGAACAUUUUGACUGAAGAAUUUUAUCAUAACAUUCAGACAAUGAAGGAUCAUUGUGUUCUGGUAUCAGGUAUGAAUUAGAUUGAUUCAUAUUUAAAUCCAAACUAAUCAAAUUCAUACUAUAUUCCUACUUUGGAUGAGGUAGGAAUGGAGAAAAAGAAGAGUAUGUCUGUCCUUUCUUUCCCUUUGUAUCAGUGUUACAUCUGAAGUCUCUGCAAUAUUUUUAAAUUUUGCAUUCAUAUUACAUGUACACUAUGAAAAGUGCAUUAUGUGUAUUCUUUAAAAAUCUAUGUAUUUACAUGUAUAGUUAUUUUUGUGUUUGAUUUUACUACAUUUACAGAAUUGGAUUUUUUUUAAAACAGACUUAAUGGAAGUUCAGGUUGUCAGCUUAAUACAUAUUUUCAGUCAAUCAGC